RNA transcript from Mandrillus leucophaeus (drill), 1269 nucleotides. It is a transcript of the gene named UV excision repair protein RAD23 homolog B pseudogene, with no coding region annotated. The transcript has a single exon. NCBI's taxonomy places the organism in Eukaryota, Metazoa, Chordata, Mammalia, Primates, Cercopithecidae. The record is from RefSeq and is a predicted model, not a curated record.
CCAGCAGCCAGCACCCAGCGCAGGCCCCGCAGCCGAGCUGUGCAGUGGCACCAUGCAGGUCACCCUGAAGACCCUCCAGCCGCAGACCUUCAAGAUAGACAUUGACCCGGAGGAGACAGUGAAAGCACUGAAAGAGAAGAUAGAAUCUGAAAAGGCGAAAGAUGCCUCUCCGGUAGCAGGUCAAAAAUUAGUUUAUGCAGGCGAAAUCCUCAAUGAUGAUACUGCUCUCAAAGAAUAUAAAAUUGAUGAGAAAAUCUUUGUGGUGGUUAUGGUUAUGGUGACCAAACCCAAAGCAGUGUCAACACCAGCACCAGCUACAACUCAGCAGUCAGCUCCUGCCAGCACUACAGCAGUUACUUCCUCCACAGCAACAACUGUGGCUCAGGCUCCAACCCCUGUCCCUGCUUUGGCUCCCACUUUCACACCCGCAUUUAUCACUCCAGUAUCAGUGACAGUGUCUUCUGAACCUGCACCUGCUAGUGCAACUAAACAAAAGAAACCUGCAGAAAAGCCAGCAGAGACACCAGUGGCUACUAGGCCGACAUCAACUGAUUGUACAUCGUGAGAUUCUUCUUGGUCAAACCUUUUCCAAGAUGCAACGAGUGCACUUGUGACAGGUCAGCCUUAUGAGAAUAUGGUAACUGAGAUCAUGCCAAUGGGCUAUGAAUGAGAGCAAGUAAUUGCAGCCCCGAGAGCCAGUUUCAAGAACCCUGACAGGGCAGUGGAGUAUCUUGUAAUGGGAAUCCCUGGAGAUAAAGUCAGGUUGUGGUUGACCCCCACCAAGCAGCUAGUACUGGGGUUCCUUAAUCUUCAACACUGGCUGCAGUUGCAGCAACUACGACAGCAACGACAACAACAAGUUCUGGAACAUCCCCUUGAAUUUUUAUGGAAUCAGCCUCAGUUUCAACAGAUGAGACAAAUUAUUCAACAGAAUACUUCCCUGCUUCCAGCGUUACUACAGUAGAUAGGUGGAGAGAAUCCUCAAUUACUUCAGCAAAUUAGCCAACACAAGGAGCAUUUUAUUCAGAUGUUAAAUGAACCAGUUUGAGAAGCUGAUGGUCGAGGAGGAGGAGGAGGAGGUGGCAGUGGAGGAAUUGCAGAACCUGGAAAUGGUCCUAUGAACUACAUUCAAGUAACGCCUCAGGAAAAAGAAGCUAUAGAAAGGUAGGAAUUCCUGAAGGACUUGUGAUACAAGCAUAUUUUGCUUGUGAGAAGAGUAAGAAUUUGGCUUCCGAUUUUCUUCUACCGCAGAACUUUGAUGAAGAUUGA